UACAUGACGAGGAAUGGGGCCUCCUGCCAAUAACUAGCUCGCCAUGUGCAUAAGCCACCAUGGAAGUGCAUCCUCGGCCUCUGCCAAGCUUUCAGACACAACCCUGGCCAACAUCUUAUCUGCAACUUCCUAAGAGGCUCUGAGCCAGAGGCACCCAGCUAAGCCACUUCCAGAUUCCUGACUCUCAGAAACUGGGAGGGGUGGCUUGACUGAUAGGAAUAUUUUUCGAGCUCCUUGUAUACGUUGCCGAAAAGAUUAUACCAGUUACUCUCCAUCCAGCACUCACUGACCCCACAUCAUUUCUGGUGGCCCGUACAGGGACUUACUUCAUCGGCUUGUGAGCUCGAGUUCUGGAACUACUAUCUAGCCUAUCAUUAAUUCCUAAGACUGAAGAAAAAAAAAAAGAGGAGGGGAGAGGAAAAACGGCCAUAAGCGUGCCCUUGCAGAAAGUCUAGCAUCUUGAGUGUCUUCUCCGCAAAUAUUGGUAAAAGAAACCAAAACAAUAGCUGUACAGUCUCUGUGUACGUGUGUCUAUGUGUACAUUAUAUGUGUGAUAUUUUACCUCCGGUUGGUAUUGCCAAAAUUAAGAGCUCUGUUCAAUUGGCUUAAAGUAAGCG
RNAcentral lists this long non-coding RNA (617 nucleotides) under Equus caballus (horse). Its description in RNAcentral is "lncRNA (ENSECAG00000045465.1)". The record is from RNAcentral. Lineage: Eukaryota; Metazoa; Chordata; Mammalia; Perissodactyla; Equidae.